Molecule: long non-coding RNA, 466 nt
Organism: Chelonia mydas (Green sea turtle)
Lineage: Eukaryota; Metazoa; Chordata; Testudines; Cheloniidae
Exons: 3
Source: RefSeq, a predicted model, not a curated record
UGUAAUUCCCCAGGUUGUCCUCAUUUUCCUUUUUAGAGAUUGGCACUAUAUUUACUCUUUUCCAGUCAUCUAGAAACUCUUCUGUCUUCCAUGACUUUUCAAAGAUGAUCGCUAAUGGCUCAGAUAACUUCAGUCAGAUCCUUGAGUAUUCUAGGCUGUAUUUCAUCAGGCUCUGGUGACUUAAAGGGUUACCAUAUCUCGGGGGUUUCCCAGAGAUUGCUUCUUAUUGGAAAUUUCCACCCAGAUGGAGGUCGCUCCCAUACAGCUCUACCCCAUCAGCGACACAGAGAUACCCACAGUGUAGAUCUUGGUGCUUAAUUACGGGAGAAGAACCAAAACAAUUCUGGCCUGAAAAGAAUAAAGAUCUGGAAAAUUUGAAGAAACUUUUGUCAAGAUCUCUGCACUAACAGAACAGGAUUAGUGGUUUAUAUGAAUAAUAAGAGUUAUGUCACCUAGGAUUAAAAAU